Molecule: ribosomal RNA, 340 nt
Filed under: Klebsiella pneumoniae
Lineage: Bacteria; Pseudomonadati; Pseudomonadota; Gammaproteobacteria; Enterobacterales; Enterobacteriaceae
Description: bacterial LSU rRNA
Rfam family: Bacterial large subunit ribosomal RNA
Source: RNAcentral
GGCGGGACACGUGGUAUCCUGUCUGAAUAUGGGGGACCAUCCUCCAAGGCUAAAUACUCCUGACUGACCGAUAGUGAACCAGUACCGUGAGGGAAAGGCGAAAAAGAACCCCGGACGAGGGGAGUGAAAAAGAACCUGAAACCGUGUACGUACAAGCAGUGGGAGCACCUUCGGGUGUGACUGCGUACCUUUUGUAUAAUGGGUCAGCGACUUAUAUUCUGUAGCAAGGUUAACCGUAUAGGGGAGCCGCAGGGAAACCGAGUCUUAACUGGGCGUUAAGUUGCAGGGUAUAGACCCGAAACCCGGUGAUCUAGCCAUGGGCAGGUUGAAGGUUGGGUAA